UGCUGCUCCUCUAGUCUCUAAAUCGGUCCAUGGAACAACAGAGUAGUCGAGCUUAGCUUCUGUGAAGGAAUUGAACAAACUAGUCCGUGGAAUAGUAAAGAUGAAGAAGAUGACGAUGGAUCUUAGGAAAGGAGCUUAGCUUCUGGUUGUGGCUUCCACAAUAGACAUCAACAAACGAUAAUGGAUGAAAAGGAAAGAAGUGUGCCUCUAAAAAAUAUUAACGACAAUGGAACUUGAACAGACGAUAUAGAUGACAAUGGAGUUUUGACAGAUGAUGAUAAAAUAAAAUAAAAUAAAAUA
RNAcentral lists this unclassified non-coding RNA (300 nucleotides) under Hevea brasiliensis (rubber tree). Lineage: Eukaryota; Viridiplantae; Streptophyta; Magnoliopsida; Malpighiales; Euphorbiaceae. The record is from RNAcentral.